RNAcentral lists this ribosomal RNA (503 nucleotides) under uncultured bacterium. Its description in RNAcentral is "partial 16S ribosomal RNA". It matches the Rfam family "Bacterial small subunit ribosomal RNA", at positions 30 to 523 of the family's 1533-position model. The record is from RNAcentral.
AUUGAACGCUGGCGGCAGGCUUAACACAUGCAAGUCGAGCGGGGUGAUGGUGCUUGCACUAUCAUUUAGCGGCGGACGGGUGAGUAAUGCUUAGGAAUCUGCCUAUUAGUGGGGGACAACAUCUCGAAAGGGAUGCUAAUACCGCAUACGUCCUACGGGAGAAAGCAGGGGAUCACUUGUGACCUUGCGCUAAUAGAUGAGCCUAAGUCGGAUUAGCUAGUUGGUGGGGUAAAGACCUACCAAGGCGACGAUCUGUAGCGGGUCUGAGAGGAUGAUCCGCCACACUGGGACUGAGACACGGCCCAGACUCCUACGGGAGGCAGCAGUGGGGAAUAUUGGACAAUGGGGGGAACCCUGAUCCAGCCAUGCCGCGUGUGUGAAGAGGGCCUUAUGGUUGUAAAGCACUUUAAGCGAGGAGGAGGCUCUUUUGGUUAAUACCCAAGAUGAGUGGACGUUACUCGCAGAAUAAGCACCGGCUAACUCUGUGCCAGCAGCCGCAGUAA